This 489-nucleotide ribosomal RNA is filed under the name uncultured bacterium. RNAcentral's name for it is "bacterial SSU rRNA". It matches the Rfam family "Bacterial small subunit ribosomal RNA", at positions 23 to 507 of the family's 1533-position model. The record is from RNAcentral.
CUCAGAUUGAACGCUGGCGGCAGGCCUAACACAUGCAAGUCGAGCGGAUGAGUGGAGCUUGCUCCAUGAUUCAGCGGCGGACGGGUGAGUAAUGCCUAGGAAUCUGCCUGGUAGUGGGGGACAACGUUUCGAAAGGAACGCUAAUACCGCAUACGUCCUACGGGAGAAAGCAGGGGACCUUCGGGCCUUGCGUUAUUAGAUGAGCCUAGGUCGGAUUAGCUAGUUGGUGAGGUAAUGGCUCACCAAGGCGACGAUCCGUAACUGGUCUGAGAGGAUGAUCAGUCACACUGGAACUGAGACACGGUCCAGACUCCUACGGGAGGCAGCAGUGGGGAAUAUUGGACAAUGGGCGAAAGCCUGAUCCAGCCAUGCCGCGUGUGUGAAGAAGGUCUUCGGAUUGUAAAGCACUUUAAGUUGGGAGGAAGGGUAGUAACCUAAUACGUUGCUACUUUGACGUUACCGACAGAAUAAGCACCGGCUAACUUCGUG